UACGAGUGCCCCAAGCGUUAUCCGGAAUCAUUGGGCGUAAAGGGUGUGUAGGUGGUUGUGUUAGUCUCCUGUCAAAGCCUCGGGCUCAACCCGAGACCUGCGGGGGAAACGGCACAACUAGAGGAUGCGAGGGGUGAAUGGAACUCAUGGAGUAGGGGUGAUAUCCGUUGAUAUCAUGGGGAACACCAAAAGCGAAGGCAAUUCACUGGCGCAUUCCUGACACUGAGACACGAAAGCGUGGGUAGCGAACGGG
This 253-nucleotide ribosomal RNA is filed under the name uncultured bacterium. RNAcentral describes it as "partial 16S ribosomal RNA". It matches the Rfam family "Bacterial small subunit ribosomal RNA", at positions 524 to 776 of the family's 1533-position model. The record is from RNAcentral.